This 780-nucleotide unclassified non-coding RNA is filed under the name Hevea brasiliensis (rubber tree). Lineage: Eukaryota; Viridiplantae; Streptophyta; Magnoliopsida; Malpighiales; Euphorbiaceae. The record is from RNAcentral.
AAACAACAGCGUAAGCUAUUCUGUGCCUUGAAAGCUUUUUGUUCCAUGUAGUUCUUUUAUUAUAUAGUUUAAUCUAGAUUCUGGAGUAAUUGAAUUGAAUUGACAUGAGAGCUGAUCAUUCAAGCCUCAGAACUCUGAGGAACUGAUGCGGAUUGACCAAUUUUUCGUAACAUAAUAGGGAUAAUUAAAGUGGGGAGAUAUUUGAUUUGACAGUUCAAUGGAUAAGCCUAGUUAGAGUGCACUGAAUUUAUAUAUAGAUGUCAGGCUAUGGCAGUUAACUUCAUGGCUAUAACAGAGGUAACGAGUCCUAAUAGAUAUGAGGUUUUAAGAAAGCUUCUAUUUUUUGAGAUACCAAAUAAGUGCUAUUGUUUUUGGAUAUGCAUUAAAAUUUUUUGGGAGGUUAUGCCUCAGUGCAGAUGUAUAGAGAACUAGAAUGAGAAGUGUUCAUGAAUCAAGAAUCUAGGGAAAACCAUAUCCAAGAAGUUUACUCUGUUUCUUUGUAACAUUGGAGUACUGUCGAAUAAUUGGUGGAUGGAUUUUUGGUUUAGAAUGAGAUGAAUGCUUGGGAGAAUCUUAAAUAGUAACACCUUUUAGUUAAUUGAAGUUAUCUUGUCUUGGGUCAAAGGAAAAUCCAAUAUAUAUGUUAAUACUUUACUUUUAAAUGGACAAUAAUCGACAUUAUCACAUGAAACUCUAUGCAAAAUUAGAAAUGCAGAAUGCAGAUAGUAGGUUCACUUUUUAAUACAACAAUAAUAAUAACAAUUAAGUCUUAAUCCCAAA